CCAGGAUCCAGUCUCAGCCUCCAGCAGGAAACCAACAUGCGGAAGCUGUAAGCCUGCCCCUUCCGAUGGCCAUAUAAAUCCUGGGCACUGGACAGUAAUUCAACACUCCUGGGUCGGCUCUGUUUAGAAAGAUCUUGACAGAACCGUUUCCCACAAGUUAUCAGAAUGAUUGUGUCGACACUUUUUCUCAGUUUGUUACUGACUUUCUUAUCAUGUGUCCAGCCGGAGGUUGUUUUGACCCAGCCAGAGGCAGAGACUGGCCGUCCCGCAGGCAGCCUGAAACUGACCUGUAAAAUCAGCGGGUUCAAUCUUGGCAGCUACUACAUGAGCUGGGUCCGACAGGUUCCCGGACAGGGUCUGGAGUGGCUGGUUAGCUACUAUACUUCAUCCAGCAGUUACUAUGCACCAGCGAUUAAGGGUCGAUUUACUGUGUCCAAAGACAUUUCAAACAACAUUUUCGCGUUGGACAUGGAGAACCUGAAGAUCGAAGACACCGCCAUCUAUUACUGUGCAGGAGACCACAGCGAGAGGAGCCAGGGCUGGACCCGUUCAAAAACAGCUCGAGGGAACAUAUUGUCAAUUCCAUCAUAA
Chiloscyllium plagiosum (whitespotted bambooshark) is the source of this 591-nucleotide non-coding RNA. Lineage: Eukaryota; Metazoa; Chordata; Chondrichthyes; Orectolobiformes; Hemiscylliidae. The record is from the annotation of a RefSeq genome assembly.